RNAcentral lists this ribosomal RNA (497 nucleotides) under uncultured bacterium. RNAcentral describes it as "partial 16S ribosomal RNA". It matches the Rfam family "Bacterial small subunit ribosomal RNA", at positions 28 to 507 of the family's 1533-position model. The record is from RNAcentral.
GAUGAACGCUGGCGGCGUGCCUAAUACAUGCAAGUCGAGCGAACAGACGAGGAGCUUGCUCCUCUGACGUUAGCGGCGGACGGGUGAGUAACACGUGGAUAACCUACCUAUAAGACUGGGAUAACUUCGGGAAACCGGAGCUAAUACCGGAUAAUAUAUUGAACCGCAUGGUUCAAUAGUGAAAGACGGUUUUGCUGUCACUUAUAGAUGGAUCCGCGCCGCAUUAGCUAGUUGGUAAGGUAACGGCUUACCAAGGCAACGAUGCGUAGCCGACCUGAGAGGGUGAUCGGCCACGCUGGAACUGAGACACGGUCCAGACUCCUACGGGAGGCAGCAGUAGGGAAUCUUCCGCAAUGGGGGAAAGCCUGACGGAGCAACGCCGCGUGAGUGAUGAAGGUCUUCGGAUCGUAAAACUCUGUUAUUAGGGAAGAACAAAUGUGUAAGUAACUAUGCACGUCUUGACGGUACCUAAUCAGAAAGCCACGGCUAACUACGUG